UAAGUCUCUGUUAAUAUCCAGGCUCAACCUGGAGGAGGGCAGGGAAACUGGCUAGCUUGAGCAUAGUAGAGGUAACUGGAAUUUCUAGUGCAGGAGUGAAAUCCGUAGAUAUUAGAAGGAACACCGAUGGCGUAGGCAGGUUACUGGGCUAUUGCUGACACUAAGGCACGAAAGCGUGGGGAGCGAGCGGGAUUAGAUACCCCGGUAGUCCACGCCCUAAACGAUGCAUGCUA
Molecule: ribosomal RNA, 233 nt
Filed under: uncultured Candidatus Saccharibacteria bacterium
Lineage: Bacteria; Candidatus Saccharimonadota
Description: partial 16S ribosomal RNA
Rfam family: Bacterial small subunit ribosomal RNA
Source: RNAcentral